Molecule: long non-coding RNA, 1260 nt
Filed under: Ursus maritimus (polar bear)
Lineage: Eukaryota; Metazoa; Chordata; Mammalia; Carnivora; Ursidae
Description: lncRNA (ENSUMAG00000018336.1)
Source: RNAcentral
CAGACGACGGAAAGUUUUUUUGCACGCAGCCCUUCCAGCUUGUCCUUCCCUCGUCGGCUCCGUGGCGUCCACGGUGAGGCGCCCCCCGCCGAGACCCCCGGCGGCCCAGUGGGGAGGAGCCGGGCAGGGUUUUCCCUCUACGAGCAUCCCAAGCCAGGAGGGACCCUGGCAAUGACCUCUCCUCCCAGCCACCGUUCCCUUCUCCCUUUCUUUCCUGUCACGGUGGACCUUGGGACCGUGGAGGAUUCCGCGGAUGCCUUUGGGAGCUGAGACCCAUGGGUAGAUGGAAGUGGUUCUAAAAUGCAGAGAGCUGUGAUAACACAAGGGAGUCAUGUCAACCUUGUCUCAUGCACCAGCUGAACUCGGUGACACUAGCAACUUGGAUCCCGACAGGCGGGGUGUUAUGACUGCACCAUCAGGGCUGGACCCCACUGCUCUGAAGGUGCUUCGUGUGCAGUGUGGGGCAGCUUGACCUGAGCGAAAGCAGCAAAUGCGCCUCGAGUUGGAACCCCAGCCAGAGUCAGUAACACAGUGGUUCUCAAACUUCAGCCUGUGUCUGAGUCACCUGCAGAACGUGUUAAAACAUGGAGUCUUAUAACCACUUCCCCCAGAGACUCUGAUUCAGUCAGUCUAGGGCAGGGAUGGAGAUUUUGCAUUUCUAGAAGUUCCUAAGUGCUGCUGGUUGGGAGAUCACACUUUGAAAAUUACAAGCCUGCUCCAGACCCUUGACUUAGAAAGCUCUUCCUCUCUAGGUCUUCUGUGCUCUAAAGGACUUCAGAGCUGCGGAGAAAAGUGAAUGGAAGCCAAGAGAUGGAAACAACUACAGCAUGCAUCAACAGCCUCAGAGAGCUGUUUGCUGGAAAAACGUAUGAAGAUUUUGACUUGGUGGGAAGCAGACCUCCCCACCACAGAAAGAAGGUGGCUAUAUCCACGCUCUUUUCUCCAGCCCCUCUUUGUGUCUCCUGUCUCCCAACACCUGAAGAGCCGGCUCCAGGCGAAGCCAGAGAAAGCUAUUUGCAGAGUGUAUGGGAGGAAAAGGAACAGAGACAGGCCCCUGCUAAGCUAUGGAGCUCAGUUUUGACUCCUGCAAGCAGAAAAGGGUUGGUGCAUGUCCCCAUGUACUUGUAUUUGGUCCCAUCGAUUGAGAUCUUGGGGAUGAAAAACUGCUGUGAGUUCAGUAAUGUUUUUAAGUAACUACCUAUGUAUUCUAUUGAUUACAAUAGGGUCCACGUCAAGUUCAAAAAUAGUAGUAAAAAUCUG